GCUCCGCAAACGACAGGCAGACGGAAGGGCCGUUACUUACCAUCUCUCUCCCUUCGCCCCCACUGCCUCAGCUAAAAUGCCCAAGAAACCAACGAAGCUAAAUUCCCAGGACCCACCAGGUCCUGACGCUUUACAGGAUUUCCGAGGCCCUGGACUAGGUCCUCUCCACCUCGGAUCUUGCGGUUCUGUUACCCUGGUCUCCUCCGGGAAGUCUUACGUGGCCCGUGGGGGCUCGCGCUGGCCAGAACCCAGGCGGACCCUGCCCACUGCCUGCUGUUUACCCCAGUUGGCGUAAAUCUCUCCCCACAGUCGGUGGGCAGGAUCUUUGGAGAUUCACAUGAACUACUGGAUUUGACACAUGCAGUCACCAUCAAUGUUCCGAGGAGAAGAACAUUUACUGACUUCUUGAAAUUAUAAUUAACUUCAAUAAAUUACAAGCCUGG
Molecule: long non-coding RNA, 443 nt
Organism: Choloepus didactylus (southern two-toed sloth)
Lineage: Eukaryota; Metazoa; Chordata; Mammalia; Pilosa; Megalonychidae
Exons: 3
Source: RefSeq, a predicted model, not a curated record